AGAUGGAUCAUUCACAAUGAAUGUUUACACACUCUGGUACUGCAUGCAUGCAUGCAUGUCUUGGAACAAACGAAAAUAAGGACAUUGGAUUUUGACUUGGACCAAACGAACUGAAAGCAAUUGGUAACUAUCUCAAAUCAAAGUAUAUUAUUAAUUUCACGACUUUCAGCGAUGGAUGUCUCGGAUCUCGUAACGAUGAAGGACGCAGCUAGCUGCGAUACGCAGUGUGACUUGCAAACUUCUGAGAAUCACUAGAUUUUUGAACGCAAACGGCACUCUUGGGCUCUGCUCAGGAGUAUGCUCACUUCAGUGCUUUAUAUGUUUGUUGUCUUAAUUGGUAGACAACGUGGAUAGUCGCUGUUCUUACGGCCUCUGAAAUCGAAUGGUCUUCGACUCUUUGGUGAACCCAUAGAGACAAUGACCCAGUUGUUAUUCAAACAAGCCUGAAUUUGAGCAAGGCUACCCGCUGAAUUUAAGCAUAUUAUUAAGCGGAGGAAGAGAAACUAACUAGGAUUCCCUUAGUAACGGCGAGUGAACAGGGAAGAGCUCAAACUGAAAAUCGGCAGCUUGCUGUUGAAUUGUAGUCUCGAGAAGUGCAACCUGUGUUUGUUCUGGGCUAAGUCUCUUGGAAAAGAGUACCAAAGAGGGUGAAAGUCCCGUCUUUGUCCAGAGUCAUUCACGUUCGGUGCAUUUUCAAAGAGUCGCGUUCCUUGCGAUUGGAGCGCUAAGUGGGUGAUAAAUUUCAUCUAAAGCUAAAUACUAACGAGAUUCCGAUAGCAUACAAGUACCGUGAGGGAAAGAUGAAAAGGACUUUGAAAAGAGAGUUAAAAGGAACUGAAAUCGUUGAAAGGGAAGCGGAGAGUCUCGAAUGUCCUGCAAUUCUGGGAGUUUGACUUAGUUGUAUAUAACUGGUUUUGAACGCUAGAGUUCUGCGGUGACGCUGGAAGAGGUCGUUCGAAUCGAGCAAAGCAAAUGUGUGUUCCCCAUUGGGGUCACUUUCUUGAUGUUUUCGGUUCUUCUGACUUUUAGACUAUCGUGACACUUAAGUGACCGCGAUAUAGUACUCCAGCAAUUUCGUUUCCCUCCGUCCCGUCUUGAAACACGGACCAAGGAGUCUAACUUAUGUGCGAGUACAAGGGUGGAAAACCCACGUGCGAAAUGAAAGUAAUUGUCAGGAAGGGCAACCUGCACUGACGCCCGGCUACCAAGCUGAGGCUGAGCAUAUAGGUUAGGACCCGAAAGAUGGUGAACUAUGCCUGAGUAGGGUGAAGCCAGAGGAAACUCUGGUGGAAGCUCGUAGCGAUACUGACGUGCAAAUCGUUCGUCAAACUUGGGUAUAGGGGCGAAAGACUAAUCGAACCAUCUAGUAGCUGGUUCCCUC
This 1381-nucleotide unclassified non-coding RNA is filed under the name uncultured fungus. RNAcentral's name for it is "sequence contains 18S rRNA gene, ITS1, 5.8S rRNA gene, ITS2, 28S rRNA gene". The stretch from base 440 to 1381 matches the Rfam family "Eukaryotic large subunit ribosomal RNA", at positions 1 to 961 of the family's 3401-position model. Lineage: Eukaryota; Fungi. The record is from RNAcentral.